CACACGGGAGAGGGGCGUACGGCACACGCGCAGCGCGGUAAACGCCCCCGCACCCAGCCGGGUUAGGUUAGCGGGCGUGCUGCGUUGGGAAGGAGGGAUCGGCGGUCGGGACGAGUAGGGGAGGAGGGGCGAGGGAGGUAGGAGGGGGUACAGCGGCGGGGAGAAGAGGGGCGUGCGGAGCCGGCGGAGGAGAGGAGGCGGCACAGCAGCCCGGGGAGGGAGGAGGAUGGAGGAGGAAGGAGGAGAGUCAGGGCACGGUCGGCGGCGGGUUUGGGAUCGGGGGCAAAGGGAGCUAGGGUUGUCAUUGGCGUAGGUGUCGGUGGAAGAGUGUCGGCGACGUGGUAAGGAGGGAAGACGGGGAAGGAGGAAGGGCCUAGGGGUGGUGCCGCGGCUGUACAUCUGUUUCCCGGUCCGCCACCACGCGGGCGGCCUAGGCUCCGUGCACCCUCCCGUCGUCACCGCGCAGCUAGUCUAGCUCUCGCUGGGGCUACCUCCCCUUCCCUGGCCAUCCGCGCACGUCCGCCGUCUUCGAACCCCCUAACCCCUCUACCGCCGGUUGGCUCAAAGAAGCUGACUAGACCUGUACCGGUACCGUCGCGUGCGUUCCCCGCCUCCGCUCGCUGGGAGACCUCGUUGCGUGUAGCUGUCCCUGUUUUGUUGUGCGAUUACCGGUCGUCUACCUGAAUUCUAGAAGGUCUCCAUGAAGUAAAAUUGAUAUUUUUUACUUACGACUGUUUCACGUUUAUACUAUGUCAAAACGACUAACCUACGUAAUAUAAGGUUCAAUUGGAAACGCAACUCUUAUAGUAGGAUAAAAAAUAUCCUUGUUGAGCGAUAGUCACGUAAUGUUAAAACACACCAUGCAAACAAAAAUGGAUAAGGUCAAGACUCGGAAUGAACAAGUAUACCAAAGUUAACGGCAGAGAGUACACUGCAACUCUUUUAGUGUACAUAUACGCAUAAAAAAGGAGACAUGGGACUAAAUAGAAUCAGGAAUACAGUUUCUAUGACCUACAUCAUUAUCUAGCUGCAUGAUUGUUUACGUUUCUCUUACUUGGAGGAGAACUAAUCGAGUUCUCCUGGACAUAUCACCGAAGUACAUUAAAGAACUAAAGGGUAUUACUAAAACGACCGUUAAACAGUCACAAAAAUAUCGACUUUAACGUACAUAUAUAAUGUUUAAAUGUAACGUUGUUUAAUUAUUCCUCAUAUCUUCGUAAACGUAGAUAGAUUGUAUAAACAUACCAUACAAAGUUUUUAGAGUUCCAAUCUAUACAUGACUACAUACUCCGAUAGUAAUCCUACCUUCUGUUAAUUACAAUUUUAUAACAAACUAAAAGGAAGCAAGACAUUUGUCGUUAUGUUCGAUACAAACGUGGUACUAAGAUAAGGUUAAAAAAAUUGUUGACUGUUAAUUGUUGUGUAGUUUACAACGCAUAACUUUACCCAGUAUUACCAAUAUAAGAUGCUGUCCUAAUCAAAACAAAUAUGACAUUGGACAAGUUCCUAACUACUCAAAAGCUUGGGAUGCUAGAAACGUGUGAUUCCAAGUCAACACAAGAAACACUUUAUAUGUAGGACGUUCAGAGUACACAGAACGCAACAAAAACGAAAGGUUCGAUGUCCGAAAACUAUAUGAGUUUUACUCUAAGAAAUAUACCACAAGCUAAGGAGAACGAUAGUGGUGUUGCCCUUUACAGAAUGGGGGCGUUUUUUUUGCCCUUUACAGAAUGCCACCGUUAUACGUGAAGAUACUACAGACUAACUGAAAAAAAAUCGUACUUCUUAUUUAAAAUGAAGUGAUUCUAAUCAAAGACAAGUGUAACGAGACAUAUAUUUUUUCCUAACAACACGAAUGUUCCAAAUACUGUAAAACCGCUUUGUAAUAAAUCAUUUUUUCAUACAUCUCCACUUGAAAUCUCCACUUUACAACACCUACAAGACUGUUUCUCUACGAACCUGAUUGAAAUCGCAGUGUGGAAUAAGUUAUAGACCCAUAACCAAAGAUGAUUGACAGUCACGGAAUUAAAAAGAAAAGGAGGGUUACGGUACACUAUAAAUGACCUGAUAUUAAGUGUACGAACGUUCAGCAGCAGCACAGAGAGAGAGAUUGACGGGGGGAGGGUAGUAGAACCGAACGAGUGACAGUGAUACAGUCUAUGGUAAAAUAAAUAGAGUAAUUCAACAUAACUAACCGUUUUUGUGGAGUGUUUACGGUUUUUUAUUCGUUGAGGAGAACUAGUCGAGUUCUCCUAGAGGUCACCGAAGUACCAUAAAGACUUACAUAGACAUAUGGUCGGCUUGCCCGUUUAUGAGUUCACUGACUUACACCACUGAUAUUUUCAGUCUUGGCCCAUGAAAAUAGAGAACACCUCUUAUAUUUAUAAAAACACCCACGAGAACACAUGUAUAUUUUUUAAAUUCCACCAGUACUAAGUCGACUGAUCCAAAAAAAAGACACACUUCCUUUCUUUUUUCAACCAUGGAUUAUCUUGGUUUCAUUAGCUAGGAGAAGACAUGUAAACAUCUUUAUUUUAUCUUAUCGAACCUUUCAUCAAAGCUAUAGUAAAAACCUUUAUCGUAUAUCCAUCAGUACCGUCCAAAAGAUACUAGGUUUAUUCUCAUGUGUACGGAAACAAAAUUGUAUGUCUAAUUUACAACUUUUCAUGUAAAACUAACGAAUCAGUCACAUAAUAGGCAAGUUUUUUUUCAGUUACAUAACUAUUAUCAAACCGAAGGAACCACCACAUCUAAGUUCCUUUAAAUAUUUUAAGUACGUAAGAAAGAAUUGAAAAAACGUAAAUAUACAAGACAUGACAACUCAUUUGAGUCAACGUCGAUAUCGUUCACUCGAGAUAUAAGUUAAGUCGAUUGUCAAAAACAAGGAUGAUAAUUUUGUAUAUGACAAAAAAUUCUCUUUGUAUGGAUUACAAAAUAAACUAAUUGGGACAUACAUAUCGUUUAAAGAAGAUUAAACAAAAAGAAUUCACGACUUCUGAAGGUAUUCCCGCGUUGAUGUUUAUCAAGAAUAGAAGUCUCCCAUCGGAAUCAGAGAGAUGGAAAAGAAAAAACCACAACUAUUAACCUAAUUUAUACAAUCUAUCGACGACUCAUAAAACUAAACAAGAAUCCUUUUAGCAAAUGUGGUUCUCUAUCUUCUGGACCUCCUGUGACCCAUAUUCAACUCUCAAGAGCGUGUUUUAGUAGGGCUGUGUGGCAUUUUACCUAUCUACUGGACAAACGCGGAGUUCUUCAGUAUCCGUCCUGGUUUAUAUACUACCUCACGUGCUGGUUUUAGAUAGGUAAAACCAGCACGCGAGGUAGUAUGUAAACGCGGAGAUUUUAAUCAAACAACUGAUUUAACACAACAAGGGAAAACGGCAAGAGAUGAGAAAAACAGCAAAAUUGACAUUUUAUACUAUAUACUAUAUUACCAAUAAACAUAUAGCUCGUCCACUACAUUAAUGAAAGUUAUCACGAAGUCGAGACGUUAGCUGUCAAACUGGAGUACGAUCCCGUUGGAGUCGGUCAACGGAGAAGAUAGUUUCACGACUACCUUCUGUAGGACUCAGGAAUAACGUACGAUCUCUUGUUGUUGAUAGAACAACCGCUAAGGGGACUAUAAACCAAGAUGUUCACACCGUAUACCUGGUUACUUUCGUUUCUAUAAGACUUACAUUAUCGAUAUACCCAACGCGGUUUACCCAGUUGUCACCUUCGCAGUGCGAAUUCAUGGACACCUACACAUGAUACGUUCGUAAAAGUCUGUUACGUUACCGUGGGACAAACAUGUAAGUGUGGGAAACUUACGGUGUUAGUCUGAUUCUUCUACAGAUUUACUCAACACUCCGACGGAGGUAUAUUCACAAAGACAUUUGACUAGAUACAGUAAGAUGAUGGACAUGACCAUAGACAUUAUGUUAGGUGUAACGUAAGUUACUCGUUUCAAACUAUUUAACAUAGACAGCAGUAUAGGUGUGAUUGAAUGAGCGAAAAGGCUUGUAACAUAAUAAAAAGUGAACUUUUGGCUAGAUUCAAUCAGAUGAU
RNAcentral lists this ribosomal RNA (4047 nucleotides) under Triticum aestivum (bread wheat). RNAcentral's name for it is "partial small subunit ribosomal RNA". Lineage: Eukaryota; Viridiplantae; Streptophyta; Magnoliopsida; Poales; Poaceae. The record is from RNAcentral.